Molecule: long non-coding RNA, 926 nt
Organism: Paramacrobiotus metropolitanus
Lineage: Eukaryota; Metazoa; Tardigrada; Eutardigrada; Parachela; Macrobiotidae
Exons: 2
Source: RefSeq, a predicted model, not a curated record
AAUAUCUGAUUUCUUAUCUUGUGUCCGAUAAAAAUACUUUUGGCUAUAGGUUUCAGUACUUCUAGAACUACGCGGACCGCACAUACCAGAACGCAAAUAAUACUUAUUUUCUAGCGGAAACGGCCAUUACAAAUUAUCUCCGCUGAUAAGAUAAAUUAAAUUGUGCUGCGCAUCUCAAGCAGCUUUUGUAAACAAACAAAAUUUUUGGCUAUUUAAUGGUCCCAGAGCACUUAACAAUUUUAGUUAUUCCAGGCUAAACAUAAAAUAAAGGUCAUAUACAAGUAUCUCUAGAUUUAAGAUGGCCGAUCAGAAACCAAGCACCCAACCCGGACAGUGCAGCGAAAAGUGCGAUCCCAACUGCAAAGACGCUAAUAAACAAGGAUGCUGCGCAACCGGCACCUGCACCAAGGAUCAGCAUCAGUGCACCGACAAGUGCGCAUCAUCGGGAAACUGCACCCGCAACCCGCAUCAGUGCAGCGAUAAAUGUGCCACGGAUAAGGCAGCCUGCGAGCAGAAAAAGAAUCUUCCUGGACGUACUCGCAUGAGUCCGGAGGAGUUGGAAGAGGCCCGCAAGCGCGAAGAAGCACGCAAAGCCGGCAAUCAACAAUAAAUCAGCAACCAUCCGGCGCUGUUUAAAAUUAAGUGAUUAGGUACACCGAUAUGGCAUUUGCGCUAACUACAAUUAAUUUUUGCUGGCACAGCCAGCUUAUUACUCGUUAGGCAACUUUCCAAACUAUAAUUGCACAUUUGGUUUUUUGCGGAAUUGUUAUAGUAUGAAAGACGAUGGUCAAUAUCGACUGACUUCUGCAGUCAAUAUGUCGGGUAUUCCUUUGUUGGAAUUUGGAAAAAUAUGCAUACUGCAUAUAGCGUUCUGAUGAAUGAGUAAAAUUUACUUGGAAUAAUAGUUAUACGGUGUAUACUACGUA